GAGAAAAAUUUAAAAAAUCGUAGGUUUCCUUAUCUCUCCCCCCGCCAAGGAGAAAAAUUGGAAUUCCGUCUCAAAAGCAGCAGAGCCGAGAAUGAAAUUCCUCCCUUCCUUCUUUUUUUCCUAGAGCACCCCCCCUCCCCCGCGAGCAGGACCGAGAUGGGAUCCUUACAAGACACCUGACACCGUCCUACCCGGAGAAAAGUCUCCCCGAGAGAAAGAUCAAGACGUUUCUAUCCCCCACACGCCUGGAUGACAACCGAAGCCUUGGCUCUCCAUGCUGGCUCAUGCCCAAAGGACACAACAAGUAGGAUUGCACAUUGUCUGUUUGUGUUUGGACGGAAGACCUGAGGCUAAAGAGACAGUGUGGAAACUUGACCCUCAAUCAAAUUCCUCUCUCACUUUUUGUGCCUGUAAAAUGGGACUAGAUUUAUGCGGAUGCUACCCAGACAAUAUGCACAUACGUAUGUGUUCUGUGCCGUCAAGUCAGAACUGACUUAUAGUGAUCCUUUCAAGGUAAGUGAAAUAUUUAAGGAGCGGUUUUACUAGUUUCACUCCCACAGUAAUUUCUCCAUAAUUCAUCACUACAACAUCCUCAGAUGUGACAAGAAACAAGAAACAACUGCAUCCACCUGCUUUUCCUAACAACCCCUUCCUCCUCUUGCCACUCCACCUGCUGAAAAUGAGGCAGUACUAUAUGGUCCUAUGGAUCUCUGUUACGGAUGAUGCUCUAGGUUCCAGAGUAUCAUCCUACUGUGACUCAGUGAGGAAGAGUUUCAGUAUGCCAUUGUGCCCAUUCUUUUUAACCCUUGUUUUUACUAGGAUGAACCAGAGAGGGACUCUACUAUAUCUUGUGCAUUAAAAGUAUUGAUAUCUCAUAUAAAGAGAUUCUCUUCUUUUUAGAAAGCAAAGAGAGCCGCUGUCCAGGCCAACUGGCAGCCAGAUGUUACACCUGUUUAUUCUGAAGGAAGUUCAAUGAAUGUACAGUGGGGUCUCGACUUGAGAACUUAAUCCGUAUUGGAAGGCGGUUCUCAAGUCAAAAAGUCUGUAAGUCAAGUCUCCAUUGACCUACAGUGCAUUGAAAACCGAUUAAUCCCGUAACAGUCUGUUUUUGUUCCAUGUUGGUUUUUUUCUGGUCUGUAAGUCAAAUCUCAGUCUGCAAGUCAAACCUAAAUUUUGCGGCCAGAGAAGUCUGUAACUCAAAAAGUCUGUAAGUCAAGCCGUCUGUAAGUCAAGGGUCCACUGUAAUUGGAAUUUACUCAGGUAAGCAUGCCUAAGAGCAUUCUCCAAUGGAAAGGGAGUUGAAAGGAUUUCCCAAUGCGGACAGAGUAUUAAUCCUUUCUCCAAAGCAAUGAUUGAAAUAUCUGCCUCAGCUCUUCCUCAAUCCUACCAGCUGACAUUGGGCAACUUUUCAUUAAUUGCAAACUUACCGUAGGAAGAACUCUGACUCAGGAAAUCUGCUUAUAUAAACUGUUUCUUCAGGUUAAAACAAGACU
Molecule: long non-coding RNA, 1493 nt
Filed under: Pogona vitticeps (central bearded dragon)
Lineage: Eukaryota; Metazoa; Chordata; Lepidosauria; Squamata; Agamidae
Description: lncRNA (ENSPVIG00000018333.1)
Source: RNAcentral